Molecule: long non-coding RNA, 24388 nt
Filed under: Glycine max (soybean)
Lineage: Eukaryota; Viridiplantae; Streptophyta; Magnoliopsida; Fabales; Fabaceae
Description: long non-coding RNA (GMAX_LNC003640)
Source: RNAcentral
GAGAGAUCAAACAAGGGCAAGUUACAUAAAUCAUGUGGAAUGUUUCCUGUAAGAUGGUUUGAGGACAGGUGAAGUUGUUGUAAUUUGGUUGCCCCAGCUAGUUCUGGUGGUAUCACACCUGAUAAAUUAUUGUUGGAGAUCUUGAGGCUUGUGAGGCUACGAAACUUUCCCCAGUUAGGUGAAAGUUGACCAUAAAAGUUAUUGUCACUCAAUUCGAUGUAGUCCAAAUUUGGAAGUACACCAAAAGCAUCUGUUAUAUCCCCAGUUAGCUGGUUUCUCUGAAGCCUGACUCUUAUAAGGCUGGAGCAAUUCUUCAAACUCACUGGAAUUGGGCCUAUGAAGUUGUUAUUUUCAGCAGAAAUUUUUUUGAACGUUCCACCAAUGCAAAUGUUUUGAGGUAAAUGGCCUAUAAAAUCAUUGUCAGCUAGCUGCAAACUUUCCAGAGCAGUAAGCAUGCUCAUUUCUAUUGGAAUCUUGCCACCAAGUUCAUUUCCAAUAAAUACUAAUUCCCUGACAUUUGACAAAUUUCCAAUGGUGAAAGGAAUGGACCCAGAGAGUUUAUUAUAGGAUAUAGAUAAUGUACUAAGCUUUGACAAAUUUCCAAUGGUGAAAGGAAUGGACCCAGAGAGUUUAUUUACAUUAAGGAGCAUGGAGUCCAAAUUCACCAAGUUGCCUAUGGAAGCUGGGAUUGGUCCAGUGAGUUCAUUAGAGUGUAUAAAUAAUUCACUAAGCUUUGACAAAUUUCCAAUGGUGAAAGGAAUGGACCCAGAGAGUUCAUUUCCAUCAAGGAACAAGGAGUCCAAAUGGACCAAAUUGCCUAUGGAAGCUGGGAUUGCUCCAGAGAGGCUGUUGCCCGACAGUUGGAUAGUGGAAAGUGAAUGGAGAUUUCCCACUCCAUCAGGAAUAGAACCAUAUAAACUGUUUUUAUAAAGGUAAAGAUAAUAUAAAUUGCUCAAGUUUCCAAUUGUAGAGGGGAUUUCACCAGAGAGAAAGUUAUCAGACAAAUCAAGUUGACCAAGUUGUUUCAAAAAACCAAUUUCAGGAGGAAUGAAGCCAGAAAGAUUAUUCCUUCCGAGAUAUAGAAUUUGGAGGUUAACCAACUUCCCAAUUUCAUGAGGAAUGUGACCAAAAAGUUGGUUUUCGUGUAAACUUAGAAGUGUUAGAUUGACCAGUGCUCCAAUUGAAAUAGGAAUUGACCCAAUAAGAUUACACAUGCUUAUGUCAAGUUUUUCUAAAUUACGCAACGUCCAAAUUUCUUCGGGCAUGGAGCCAGAAAGGCCACUUUUCGACAUACGAAAAAUCUUUAGAUUCCUUAACUUCCCAAUAUCACGAGGAAUAGACCCGCUGAAACUGGAUUGGCUCAUGUCAAGCCAUGUUAGAUUCCUCAGCAUCCAAAUUUCUUUGGGAAUGGAGCCAGAAAGCCCACUUUUCCAAAGCCGGAGAGUCUCGAUGCUCCUCAAAUUCACAAUUUCUUUGGGGAUGGAACCGUUGAAGUUAUUAUCAGCAAAUGACAAAUGCUUUAGGUUCAUAUGCCAAAUUCUUAGUGGAAUGUUGCCAGAAAGGUCGUUGCUUUCGACAUCUAGAUGAGACAAAUUGCAUAACUUUUCUAUUGAGAUUGGGAUAGUCCCUGAGAUAUUGGACCGAGGAAUAUCAAGUAUUCUCAGAUUCAUCAAUCUACCUAUUUCUUGAGGAAGGGAUCCAGUGAAAUUAUUAUCACCUAUGCGCAAUGUAUGAAGACCAACCAAGUGUACUAUUUCAGAAGGAAUAGUACCAGAGAGAUCAUUGUCAGAAAGAUUAAGAAACAAGAGUUUGGAGAGAUUACCAAUGGUAUUGGGAAUGCUACCAAAGAGGUUAUUAGUGGACAAGUCAAGAGUGUUGAGAUUGGAUAAGGAACCAAUUUGAGGAGGAAUAGUUCCAUUCAAGGAAUUGUGACUCAUAUUUAGAGUGAGAAUGUUUGGAAGUAAUGAGAAGUUGAGACUUUGAAGCGUACCUCUUAAUCCAACAUAUGUAAGACUGAUGUUGGAAACAGAAUUGAACUCAUCACAUGCAAUUCCGAGCCAAAUGCAAGGAUUGUUGCCACUCCAUGAAGAGAGAGAAGCAUGACUUUGGUUGUCAAGGCUGGAUUUCCACUUCAACAAAGCAUUUGCUUCUGAAGCAAUCUCAGAAGAAGCAGCAAAUGCACAGAAGUACAUCACAAGAAGCAGCAAAAGUGGUUGGAGCUUCAUGGACAGAAGCGUUGGAAAUAUGAACACCAUGAGGAAAUUUUGAGGAAGGAUUCAAUCACAGAUUGUCUGAUACAAUCAAAUGUAAGAGAAGUACUUACAAGCAAUUCAUGGGAUAUGCAUACUUAUAUGCAAAACAUCAUGAAACACGAACCAGAGUCAAGAAAUAUUGUACUUUUCUUUCGUUGAAGUCUAGAGAUAUUUUACUGUAUCUACAUAAAUAUAUGUUACAGCUUGGUUCAAAAGGUUCAAGAUAGAAAAGUUUUACACCUUUAAUCUCCAACCUUUUGCAACUGUGCUUUCGAAGCUAUCCUUUUUAUUUUAAGCUUUUGACGUUUUUUAAAACAUAAUUCAAUAAUUAUAAUUUUUUAUAAAACAUUUAUUUUGAGUUAAAAAUAAACCCGUGUUUUUUGGUAUAGAUUUUUUUGUCUAACUAUAGAUAUUGUUUGAUGAAAGUUAUGUUGUUCAACUCAAAUACCAUAAUUAUGAAUAAUCUGAAGUCAAACUUGAAACUACUACUUAAGCUUGAACAACUCACAUUAAUUGAUUCACAUAUUCACUCACUAUUUUUUUUUGGUACUAUGAACAUUAAAUUAUCAUGAUAAUUUUUUUACUAAAAAGUUGAACAUCUGACAUCAAUUAAAAAUAUAAUCAAAAUAUAAUAUAUAACUGAAAAAUAAUCAUAAUCUUAUAAGUUGGCUUUAUAAGAUUAAGUUAGACUUAUAUUCAAAUUGUAAGAGUAAAUUAGAAUUUUUGUCCAUUAUCUAUAUUUUAGGUUUUAAUUUAAUUAGUCCAUUAAAUUUAAUUUUUUUUUACUUUAGUUAGACUAUUAAAAUUUCUCUUUGUUAAACAAGUUUGGUGACAUGAAUAAAUUGUAAGAGAUAUCAUAUGGGCUAAAAUUGACAUUGUUAGUGUAAAAAACAAAUUUGGUCUAACCCAUGUGAUAGACUAAAAGGAAACUUUUGAAAAAAAAAAUAUUAAUUUGUUGCAGUCCCUUACACAUUUUAAUUAUAUUAAAUCAUUUAAAUGUUAUAAUAUUGAAAACUAAUUAGGAUGAAGACUGAAGAGAUGCGAUAAAUUCAUAAUAUGGAAGUAAUUAAAGUGAGAAAGAAAAUAUCAAACAAGACAGCCGAUCAGUGGGGUCAAUAGAAGUCUAGCUUGGUAUGUUGCACGCGUUUACUUUACAAAACUACAAAACUGUCAAUGCAAGUCUUGACAGAACAAAGGGAAAGAUAAAAAAAAAGGACAAAACAAAGGAAGACUACGAACACGGAUAUAAGAAAACCCAAGCAUGUGCACUGCAUCCAGGACCAGCCCUAAUAAGUAAUAACCCUUAGGGAGGGUUACAUGAUCACGAUUUGAUUUGACAUGCUUCUAGAUUAACGACUCAAAUGAAAAAUAUUAAAUUUCCUUCCUUAUUUUUAAUAUAUAUAUAUAUAUAUAUAUAUAUAUAUAUAUAUAUAUAUAUAUAUAUAUAUAUGAAUGAAUGAAUUUAUUAUUCAAUAAAAGAAUGAAAAGCGUCAUUAAAACCCUAAAUUUUAUAGAAAUUAAUGUAAAAUAGAAAACACGUUAGAGUAAAAUAUCCUUUUUUACUUCAUUCACGCUCUAUCAUCCUAUUUAGUUAAGGUACUAAAAGGCAAGGGUUGAAAUUAAUAUAUAAUUUAAUUAAUUUAUUAAAACGACUCAUACAAAAAAUUUUGAUGUUCUAUCAUUGCAUUAGAUUUUACUAAAAGCCAAUUUAGUCUUCUUAAUUUUUUUGUUAUCAUUAUCAAUUAAGUAUUAAAAUAUUUAUUAAUAGCAAUAUUACUAGAAUAAAUUACACUUUCCUCUCUUAAAAAAUACGAAUAUCACACUAUCAUCUCCUCUUAUAUUAAAAAUUUUACUCUCUUUACCUAACAAAUUUGAAUACAUGACACUUUAUUUCUUUUUAAUUUUGUGUUAAAAUUCUGUUUGUUUCCAUUAAAAUAAACUACAUUAUUAAAAUAUUAUUUACAAUACCACCUCCUCAAAGAUGCAAAUAUUUCACUGCACUCCCUUCUUGUGUUAAAAUACAUACUUCAUCCCUUAACUAAUGAGCGCGCGUGUGUGUAUAUAUAUAUAUAUAUAUAUAUAUAUAUAUAUUAUUUUUUUGGAUAUUUCGUUUUAAAAUGUUUGAUAAUUAAUUUUUUUAAACAAUUAUAAAAUUUUAAUGAGUGUAUGCACACACUUACACACAUUUAUUUGUUUAUGUUAGUACUGAAUUUUGUUAUAAUUAAAUUUUAUUUAAUAAUAGAUUUUUACAUGAAUAUAUUCAGGUGAAAAGUUAUAAGUUACAUUUAUUAAAAUUAGUAAAUAUAGUAUUUAAAUUUAAUAAUAGAGGAUAUUAUGAAAAUUAAUUAUAAAUUAGUUUUUAUGACAAAUUUUUAACCAUUGCUGAAGUACUAGAUUUCCACCCUUAAUUACAGUACACGCGUAUAAAUUAGUUCAAAAUACUCCAAUUGAAAAUUUGAGUUAUAACAUUUCAUUUCCAAAUUAACAUAAUAUUGUUUGCAUAAUUAAGUCACUUUAUUAGCUUAUUUGUUUCGUGUUUUUAGUUUUACACCAGGCUCUAUUAAAUGUUUGUAACCUAAAAAAUUAUCUAUUUAAAGUGAGUUUUUUUUGGUGUGUAUGAAACCCAAGUUAGAAUUCUAAACAGAAAAAAUUAUUCCCUACUAUAACGCUAACGCUGUAUGAUUUGGUUUUAGCCUAGAGCGUUUGGAACGGGGGAAAAUGAUGUUGGCAUUUGAUGAGAGAAUUAUUGUGUUGAAUGAUGUACGUACAUGUAUAUAUCAUUCGCACUGCGUCAGGAUGCCCUUCGAAGCACGUAUUAUUAAUUUCUGCCUCCAAUCUAUUCAAAUUACGUAAAAGCUUUGAUCUAACUUGCAUCCAUCUUGCGUGAUGAACAAUCAAAGACGUACUAGCAAGUCUUACAACCUAUAUCAUACUUUUGUGACAUAAUAUAUUAAUUACUCUAUAAAAUAUAUUAAGACAGUUCCUAUUGAAAAUACAAAGUGUGUGAGGAGUAAAUCAUUAUUUUGUUAAAUAUUUAUUUUUGUAAAUCAUUAUCAUCAUCAUCGACUUAGUCUUGCUUGUGUAGUGACACUUUUAAUUUCAACAUGAAAGGGACAGUAUGAAUGUAACGUCUUGCAAGUCCACCACGUAUAAUUAUGUUUCGUUAUUAUCCAUUAGACCAUUUUCCAAGCAACUGUACUUAAACAAUAUAAGUACUGUAAUAUAUAUAUAUAUAUAUAUAUAUAUAUAUAUAUAUAUAUAUAUAUAUAUAUAUAUAUAUAUAUAUAUAUAUAUAAAAGUACAGGGGACUUUAAAAUAUUGGGUGAAUAAACAUCAUAGUGUGAAAUAUUUAUUAUUAUUUUAUUUAAAUUAUAUCUAUUAUAAAAAAUAAUUAUGUUUAAAUCAAAUAAAAUUAUCAUGAAUUAUAAAACUCUUUCUUCAAAUAUUAAUUUAAUAUAAAUGUAUACUCAGAAUUCGAGUUCAAGACUAUUAUUGGUUAAACAAGAUUAUACCCAAGCCAAUUAAUUCAAGCCUUGACGAUGGUAUUUAUUAAUUUUACUAAUAAAUUUUCUUAAAAAAUAUGACUGGUCACAUAUGAUGCUUUUACAAAAAAUAAGACAGUAGUGACAUUUUACUAAAGGUUUUAGUUUAGGGAAAAGAGAGUGUAAUUUCCUCUGGAAGAAUAUGAUGAUACCAUUUAUGAAGUCAAUGCAUGUCUUGACGGGUUGUCUUGCAUAAUGCAUACGUUGGUAAAUUGCAAACUUCUUUUGGCAUUUGAAGGGAAAGAUACAAAAAAGGAUCAAACAAAGGAAGACUACGACGCGCAUAUAAGAAAACCCAAGCAUGUCCACUCCAUCCAGGAACAGCCCUAAUAAGUAAUAACCCUUAGGGAGGGUUACAUGAUAACGAUUUGAUUUGAUAUGCUUCUAGACUAACGACUCAAAUGAAAAAUAUUGAAUUUCCUUCUUAUUUUUUAAAAUAUAUAUAAAUGUAUUGUUGGGAAAACUCGGACUUUCCCGCUUCGUGAAGUUAAGAUAAACACUUAGUAAUUAAAGGUAAUAAUGGGAGCACACGAUUAUAAUUCUUCAAUAUGGAAAUUCUUCCACUAUACAAAAUGAUAGUAGGGUUACAAGGAUGUGUUUACAAAAUUGACUCACUCUAUGGUGGCUCACUCAAGCUUGAGAAUAAAGACUUCCCAAACUAUUUAUCUUCUCUCUCAGAGAUGCUUACUCAAGCUUGAGAAUAGAGACUUCCCAAACUAUUUAUCUUCUCUCUCAGAUAGGCUCUCUACUUGGAUCGUUAGGAAUGAAGGCUCCUAUCCUUAUUUAUACUACUCCACCUCCACAAUGAAUGAUGGAGAUUACUUGUAUCCUAGGGUGAAGAUUAAUUCUCUAGAAUGUUCCACAAAUUCUAGGAGUCUCUACACUCUUCUACUCCCUUCCAUAUCCUUCCAUACUUUUUCAUAAGAUCCCAGAAGGUUCCACACAUCUCCAGAAUAUUCUAAAGGUUUCCAUAUUCUUUCACAAGCUUCUAGAGAGUUCUACACUACUCUAGAGUUCUCCAGGACGUUGUAGAAAAUUCUACACUUUUCUAAAAAGCUCUAGAAUUUUCUAAAACCUCUCCAAUUAAGGAGGGAUCCCAACAAAUCUCCCCCUCCCGACUUAAUUGGGGGCUAGUAGCAAACCGGCACCUUGACAGCAAUCUUUAAACUUCUUUGUUGGUAGUACUUUGGUCAUCAUGUCUGACCAGUUCUCAUCUAAGUAAACCUUAUCAAGAUGUACUUUCUUUUCCUCGAGAACAUCUCAGAUCCAAUGAUACCUUACGUCAAGGUGCACAUCCUUGAACAUGUCUCCAUCAUGAGCGAUGUUAUCCUCUAUCUUGAACUGCACGAGCUAGUGACGGCUCCGGAUGAACCUGACUUUUAAUACCACUGUUGGGAAAAACUCGAUGGGAGGAAAUACUGGGGAGAUUCCUGUGGACCACGAGCCACCACAUAAGAAAACCUAGUACCACACUAUAACCCAAAACCUUAAGGCUUAGGUUUAUGAGUCUUCUCUUCACUUAUAUGGUGCUCAGCCUUUCCACUUCUACCCGAUGUAGGACUUCACCUCACACUUGUACUCCAACACAUCUCCCCCUCAAGUGUGAGUCUCUUCCACAUGGUAGCCUCCCCCCUCGAGAGAAAGUCAUCAUCCACGAGUAUAGCCAUUAGAGCCUACAUGCUCUAGCUACCUGCGAUACUUGCAUCGUCGCUCCAUCUGCGGGACACGCUGCCUGGACUCACUGUCAGGAAGACUUUCGAUACAAGGGAUCCCCAAGGCUGAGAUCCAUCACCGCCAUCUUACUCGUCUGAGCUGGUCACCAAGUCGAACAACCUGGCUCUGAUACCACUGUUGGAAAAACUCGGAAUUUCCCGUUUCGUGAAGUUAAGAUAGGCACUUAGUAAUUAAAGGUAGUAAUGGGAGCACACGAUUAUAAUUCUCCAACAUGGAGAUUCUUCCACUAUACAAAAUGAUAGUAGGGUUACAAGGAUGUGUUUACAAAAUUGACUCAAUCUAUGGUGGCUCACUCAAGCUUAAGGAUAGAGACUUCCCAAGCUAUUUAUCUUCUCUCUUAGAGAGGCUUUCAUGCUUGGAUCGUUAGGAAUGAAGGCUCCUACCCUUAUUUAUACUACUCCACCUCCACAAUGAAUAGUGGAGAUUACUUGUAUCCUAGGGUGAAGAUUAAUUCUCUAGAAUGCUCCACACAUUCUAGGAGUUUCUACACUCUUCUACUCCCUUCCAUAUCCUUCCAUACUUUUUCAUAAGAUUCCAGAAGGUUCCACACAUCUCCAGAAUAUUCCAGAGGUUUUCAUAUUCUUCCACAAACUUCUAGAGAGUUCUACACUACUCUAGAAUUCUUCAGGACGUUCUAGAAAAUUCUACACUUUUCUAGAAAGCUCUAGAAUUUUCUAAAACCUCUCCAAUUAAGGAGGGAUCCCAACAUGUAUUUAUUAUUCAAUAAAAGAAUAAAAAACGUCAUUAAAACCCUAAAUUUUAUAGAAAUUAAUGUAAAACAGCAAACACGUUAGAGUAAAAUAUCCUUUUUUACUUCAUUCACGCUCUAUCAUCCUAUUUAGUUAAAGUACUAAAAGGCAAGGGUUGAAAUUAAUAUAUAAUUUAAUUAAUUUAUUAAAACGACUCAUACAAAUUUUUUUAAUGUUCUAUCAUUGCAUGCAUUAGAUUUUACUAAAAGCAAAUUCAGUCUUCUUAAUUUUUUUGUUAACAUUAUUAAUUAAGUAUUAAAAUAUUUAUUAAUAGCAAUAUUACUGGAAUAAAUUACACUUCCCUCUCUUAAAAAAUACGAAUAUCACACUAUCAUCUCCUCUUAUAUUAAAAAUUUUACUCUCUUUACCUAACAAAUUUGAAUACAUUACACUUUAUUUCUUUUUAGUUUUGUGUUAAAAUUCUGUUUGUUUCUUUUAAAAUAAACUAGAUUAUUAAAAUAUUCUUUACACUACCACCUCCUCAAAGGUGCAAAUAUUUCACUGCACUCUCCUCUUGUGUUAAAAUAUAUAUUCAUCUCUUAACUAAUGCGUGCGCACGCGAUAUAUGUAUUUAUAUAUAUAUAUAUAUAUAUAUAUAUAUAUAUAUAUAUAUAUAUAUAUAUAUAUAUAUAUAUAUAUAUAUAUAUAUUUCGUUUUAAAAUGUUUGAUAAUUAAUUUUUUUAAACAAUUAUAAAAUUUUAAUGUCUGUAUACACACACAUUUUAUUAGUUUGUUAGUAGUGAAUUUUAUUAUAAUUAAAUUUUAUUUAAUAAAUGAUUUUUACAUAUAUAUUCAUGUGAAAAGUUAUGCGCGUGUUACAUUUAUCAAAAUUAAUAAAUAUAGUAUUUAGAUUUAAUAAUAGAGGAUAUUAUGAAAAUUAAUCAUAUAUUAUUUUUUCACGACAAAUUUUUUAGCCAUUGCUGAAGUACUAGAUUUCCACCCUUAAUUACAAUGUACGGGUACAAAUGAGUUGAAAAUACUCCAAUUCAAAAUUUGAGUCAUAACAUUUCAUUUCCAAAUUAACAUAAUAUUGUUUGCAUAAUUAAGUCACUUUAUUAGCUUAUUUAUUUUCGUGUUUUUAGUUCUACACCACUCUCUAUUUAAUGUUUGUAACCUAAAAAAUUAUCUAUUUAAAGUGAGUUUUUUUUUUAUCGGCAAUAUUAAUACAAAAUCAAAACCGCGAUUUUUAUCAUGGUUCCUUUCUCUCUUCCCUUCUAUUUAAGGUGGGUAUGCUUAGUAAUUAUAGAACAUAAAACAAACAUACUACUUAUUGGGUUAAAGUUGUUAUUUUUUAUUUGAAAAGAAGAAACAAUUACUAAAAAUAAGUAAUGCAUAUACAUCUUUCAAUUUGACAAACAUUAAAUUAAACUUAAAGUGAAUUACUUAUGCACUUUAAUUUCAAGAAAUUAAGCUCAAUUUCAAUGAAAUUUAAUAAUUUGAUACUUUGUCUUUUUAAGAGAAAAUGUCCAGUAUACUGACACAAACCUGAGUUGCAAAUUAAGUUAUAAAAACUUUAUUUUCGAUGGGUAUUUAAAAAAAAAAAACAGGUGAAAUAUAUACCGUAGUAUGACUUCAAGAAUAUGUAUAAAAGUUAAAUCGAUACCAAGGUUAGGUAGAUUUCUUGUGAAUGAAAUCCUGCAAACAUAUCAUUAUCAACGCGAGUUGAUCGUGUUAGAAUAGCCUCAAAAUUCAAUCAUCCACUUGAAAAUUUGACCACUAAGGCAAAUUCUCACUUCUCUGCGUUUUUUUUUUCCUAACCUAACAUUUUUUUCCUAAUCUAACAUGAUGUUAGAAUAUGUAACGCGAAUAAUAUUAAAGAUGAAUAAAAUAAAUAAAUACAUAAACAUGUAAAAGCAUACAUAUUAUUACAUCAGAAGUUUCAUAGGAGUACAUAGUAUACAACAAUAUACAUAUUGGAUCAAGCUCCGUGCGUCCUUAAUUUGCACGGUCAAAAGUUUACAAUGUGAAAAGAAUCCAUACCUUGUAAUAUAAUAAAGAAUAAAUAACACAAAAUAUAUAAGGAAAAACAUACAAAGUAUAUAAAUUAACAAAUAUUAUAUUAAUUUUUUAAAAAAUAAUUCUUCAUAGAAAGUUAAUUUUUAUAUUUAAAUAAUUUAAUUUUUCUUCAUUACACUUGAAAUGAAUGCAAAUAACUUCCGAUCCUAAACAAAUAUUAAAUAUAAGAUGUAACGUGAAUAAUAUUAAAGAUGAUUAAAGAAAAUAAAUAUGUAAAAGUAUACAUUAUUACAUGGAAUUGAGCAAAUUAAAUCAAUCUAAAUAUUUUUCACUAAUCAGUAAAAUGGUACUUAAACUGAAGUUCCGUAAUGCAAAGAAUUAUUCAUUUUAAAUCCACACUUAAAUCAGUUUUCCUUGUAAGGUAGUGCAUGCAAUUCAAAUAUUAUAGAAUUCUACUUUUAGUUUGCUAACUAUAAAAGGAUUCUAAUGUUCUAUAACAUUUUUUCUGUCCUUCACUACUAUAAAAAAGCAUUUCCACGACAUGAAUAUAACAUCGGUGCUAUGCGAACGUUGUUGAAUCCGUAGCGGUGGCAUUUUUGUAAAUACCCCGACAUUAACGACAAUGUUUUUGGAGCUGCCCGAUGUCGUAUUUGAGCGGUUCAAAUGACUACGUUUGAGUAGUGAAAAACGUCUUCGUAUUUCACAUACAACAACGUUUUCUAAGAAAUCGCCGUCCUUGUUGCAGUUUUGCAAAAUAAAAUUUUAGAAACCGCGCCAUUAUCCUUUAACUCUUUGCCCUUCCUAUCUGUCGUGAGCACGCCCUAGCUAGCAACCUCCUUCGUAGCAAACCUCUGUGGUGCCCUCCCUCGUGUGCUUCUGCGUUUCGUCGGUGUCGGUAACUUGUCCGGGCUAGGUUUUGUCCAACUUUUGUGAGGUAAGUAAACUUUGUUAAUUACUUGUUAGUUUUGGUCAUUUACCAGUUCUAGGGUCUGUCCGGGCUUGGUAUUUACAGUUGAGGUCGAACUCUAGGGUCUGUUGGACUGAGUUCUGCAUAAGCAACAUGAAAAUAUAACAACAUUACAAUUGGGUGCUAUGGUAAGGACUGUGUUCGAAAGUGAAAAUAGUUUUUUUAAUUGGAGUUGCAUGUACACUUUGAGGUAACCCGCGCCAUUACCUUUUCUAUCUACGUACUCUCCUGGAUUGUUGGUAAAAAAUAUGUAUUUUAAUUAGCUACAAAAUAUCAUCUUCGGUCUCUUUUAUAAGCCUUUCUACAUCUUUACCUGCAACAUAAAAUUCCAAAAGUUUUUUAGUUAAAAGUAGAACGGGGAAACUAAUAAUAAAAUAAUAAUAAUCUUGAGCUUUCUUUAAAGGCAGCAUUAUAGUUGAGAAUGUGGCAGCAGAUAUACUGUUACAAUCUGUGCUUAUAGAGUUUCAAUGCACUCAAUUUCAAUCUUGGCAUCCAAUGGCAAUGUAGCCACUUCUUAAAUUGAACCGUUGGAAAAGCAGCUAAAUAAAAUUGUUGAAGUAAUUAUAGGCAUUAAUUAUGAGUGAAAAUUAAAUAAUACCAACUCAAGGGGAAAAUCUUAUGAUUUUCAGCAUAGUACUCUUAGUUUCUCUAACAUUAAUCACCCUAAUUAUAUAUUAAAUAUGACAAGUUGACAAAAUAACCGAUUAUGUAUGACAAGAUGAAUCUUUAAGAGUUAAACCAUAAUAAAGCAUGAAGGUUUUUAAUCUAACAGCUGCUCACUCUUCUUCCAUGGUACGUGUAUGUUACCUACAAGCUAACACAUUUCUCAGCCCACAAAUGUAACAGGAUAAAUUUUUACAGCACAGAAUAAACUAUGCCAUAAGUGAAAUUCAUUAGUAAACACACUACCCACUCUUUUAAAUGCACUCUUUACUAUUAGUUGAAAUCAGUUAGAAAUUGCUAAGUCUAUUCCCAAAGGAUCAUAUGUCAGUGGUGAAACAAUCAAAAUGCUAAUUCCUAAACACACAUAAAACUCGAAUCCCAAUUUCCUAGACACCCAUGCUCAGGGCAAAUCUGUCAAGUCUAAACUCUAUUACAUACUUACGUAGAAUACAAAGUACAAAGAUUUAUGAGUAUGAGUUAAAUAUACAACAUCAAAGAGAACCAACCAGACUUUCCAAUAUUUCCAAAUUUGAAAUGCAACUCUAGGAUUGUGUGGUAGCCUACUUAUUAAUUAUGCUACAAUAUCCUAGUAAAAACUUAAAACGUACGCUAAAGUUUCAGAAUUUCGGUGCUGAAUCACAUGCUUUUGCUUUAUAUAUUGCAGCAGCAAAUUAGAGUACAAAAAAACCAAUAACAAUGACAAAGGUUUAUAUGUAGGUCCGUGUAGCACAGGUUUUGGUUCGCAUACCUUGAGUGAAAAACCGCACACAGUUUUUGAUGGUACACAAAACCUAACAGUAGUAAAAGCUAAAUAAAUUACCAAGAAAUCUAAAAUCAAGUAAUAAAGUCAAAAUGAUUUUACAUACAAAGAGAAUGGAGUGAGAGAAAGGUUCACCAACAAUGGCACAACCAGACCGCAAGAGGAAAACUCAAAAAGGAAAAAGAGCGAGGCAGAGACAAACAAUUACGAGAGCGAGAGAGACAACUCCAACGAUGGCAAUGUGAUGGGUAGGGUUUAUGAAAGGCAGGGCAAUAAUGGCGAGGGUCAAGGAAUAGAGCUUCGUGAGGGCAACAGUGGUGAAGUCACGGAUACAAACCCUACAUUGUCCCCAUAACCCUAAUGCGCAGAUACAAACAAUUAAAUAUAUUAUAUUACAAAUUUUAAACCCUACCGCGUAAAACAAAAUCACUAAAUCCUAACACUACCUAAAAUUUAUUAAACAAAACACUUUAAACAGGAGAAGCCUUUCAGGGCAACAUCUUCAAGGUGAAGCAGAUCAGGGUAGUUUCACCAAGUCAAUUUAAUCAAAAAAGCACUUUAAACAAAAGAAAGUUUUCAGGGUAGCACCUCCUAUGUGAAGCAGACCAGGAUGACACCUCCUCUUGUACUGACAUCCACCUAAACAAAUGACAGAGAUCAGGGUGGCAUCAUUAUAGGAGGAGGCUUACUGAUGCUUCUCAUUAUCAACGUGAUAAAAUAAUAUUCAUCUUGAUAAAUAAUUUGUUGACCAACUCAUAUAGGUAAAUAGCUUUUAUUUUUCACCCAUAUUGAUAAAAAAAGUUGACAAAUGACAUUAAUUUCAAAAUCAGGGAUAAAAAUCUGGGACAAAAUCAUUUGGUACCUACAUUUUUCAGUGGUAAAAAUCUGGGACAAAAGACAAAAUGGGAAAAAAUCUACGUACACAAAUUGCAUUUGGCCUCCUCAAAGCUUAUGAGUGUAAAACUCUUUUUAAUUAAUAUUCCAAGAGGCUCAUUUCUUUUAAAUGCAUGUCAUAUAAUUUGCCAAGAAAGAAAAAAUGGCAUAAAAAACUUAACAUAUGCCAAAGCUUAAACAAAUAGACUAUGUGAUUAAAAGGAACCGGUGAUAUAUAAUUGCUUUGAAAUCCCUGUGAAAGCUUCACUGUUAGGUUGAUUAGUUCUCACUUAGUUGACAUAAUUUAAAGAAAACAAAAUCAGUUUCAAGGUUUAUGAAUUUCAGUUUGACCACAAUCAAACCGUAUAACAAAAAUCUAAUGAGACAACAAUAUUUUAAACAAGAAAAAAAUUCAUGUUAUUAUCACUCACAAUAGAUGUAACAGUACUCACUAGAAACUAGAAAAUAUAUGAUUAACAUUGAUUCUAGAGACAUUCAACAUCGGUUUUGAAUCGAUGUUGGAAUUAUCAUUGUUAAAAGUAUGUCAUGUUUUACAUUAAUUAUAAAAUUGAUGGUCAAAAUCACUUCCAAAAUUAAUGUGAUAUAGUAGCAAAAAUUAUCAGUUUUAAUCAAAACUAAUAUUGUAAGUACUAUAAAAUAUUGAUUUUGUUAAAACCGAUGUUGCAUAAUGCAUACAUCAUUAGUUUUGACAGAACCAAUGUUUUAUACUACUUACAACAUUAAUUUUUGAUAAAAUUGAUGUUGUUUUUGUUAUUAUACCACAUUAAUUUUGAUUAAAAUUGAUAUUGUACAAUAUCAUUUUAGAUAUAAUUGAUGUUGAUUUUGCAAAAAAAUAAAUAUAUUUUAUCUAUUUGUUAAAUAAAAUCAAACCUGUAAAUUAAAAACAAAAUCAAUCUAAACAUAUAAUAUAUAUAUAUAUAUAUAUAUAUUAAAUAAAGAAAUACUUAAAGAUAUCAAACAAUGAUCUCAAUACAUAAAUAUCUUCCAUAAGCUAUGUUAAACAAUGAUUUUUGGACCUCUAGUAAAGUACAUUUAAAAAAAUUUCCUCUUUUUUUUACUACAUUAAAAAAUGCUUCAAAACAUACCAUCGAAGUUAAUAAAAGAUAAAUAUAACUCAGAAUAUAAUUCCAAAUAUAAAAUAUUUUAUUCUCUUUUUUUUACUACAUUCUCUUUUUUGUUUUUCCGUUCAUGAAUCUUGUCAAACAGGUAUAGUGUUUUUCUCUGUAAUGAAAGAGACAAAUAUAACUCCAAAUAUAACUCAGAAUAGACAUAAGAUAAAAGAUGACUUGUGAGACUUACCUCAUGAGUAUCCCUUUAGAGACAGCUUCAAAUAUAACUCCAGUAUAAUAGUCAAGACCUCGGGUCAGACAUAAGUCAAAAACCACGUUAUCAAGGCGUUUUUGAUUUAUCCAUAAGUUUAAAUAAAAUUUAUAGGUCAUUCAAUGCAUCAACGGAUCCAUCAUCUUUUAAGAAAGCACUGCCUUCUUUAAAUUUAGACAACAAUGCUAGAGGAGGUCCUUUUUCUUUGAUAUAAGUUUCAAUUUUGUCAGCAAUCUCAGCAAUUAAUCCUUUCUCUUCCACCUACUGCAUGACAGUACAAAAACACAUCAUUAAACAUAACAUAUAUAUCAUGAUUACAAGACAACAACUUUCCAAUAUUACAGUAAUAGGGAAUAUUAUUGUCUCAAAUUUUAAUUGGUCAUACACAUAGAAAGAAACAAAAUCAUAAGUCUCAAAGACCUAAGGCAAUGAAUGUAGUGGAAUAUGCUUGAACAGUUUUACGAACAUUUAAAUCAUGAAAUGCAAUUUCUUUUUUAUUUUAUUAAACAAUGUCUAAGUUUUGAAGCACCAAGUCUAAUCUAAUGUUAUUAAAUAAAAUAAUCCUUUGCAUUGAAGCACCAGAUCUUACCUCAUACAAACAAAUGAAUUAUAAGAAAGAAAGUCACAAUGGUGUCCUAGAAACCAUUAGAAUGAUAUGAAGAGUUCCUCAUUCUAACAGCAAGGAGUCCAACGAAUAAUUUAAAGGCAAUAAUUACAUAGAACUUCACAAAAAUAUAAAUGUACAAGCAUCUUUCUUGGAUGCCAAUAAAUGAUAAAACACAACUUACACUAGUUUCUACAGUACAUAGAACAUUUUGCAGCCUCAGAUAACUGCAUCAAGACAAAUGAUAUAAGGUGCAAAAUAAUUGGUCAAGAUAAAAUGCAGAAAUAUAUAACAUAUUUACUAGCAUGGUUAUAGUCAUCACUCAACACAUUGUUACUAUAGACCAAAGACAACAUUAAACUUUGAACUAAUGAAAACAGUGGUAAAAAAUAGUUCAUUUGGUCAUCUAGGCAGGGCAGAAAAGAGACACACUUCCUCAGAAAACCUGAGGGAAGUAAGCCUGAUGAUGUGGCUAAUGGGACCAGAUCCUGUAAUUUCAGAUAACAUGCCAAUUUACUUUGGCUUAAAAUACCCAGUAGCCAAUGGUAUCUAAUAUAAAGGAGUAUGAUACUUUACUAACACCAUCUGAACUUAAAAUUACCUAGCAAUCCAAGAAAAUGCCCUAAAAAUAGAAUUUGAAUUUCUCAGUUGUGUGCGACUUGCAAUCCUGAAGUCAAAGCUCCCUUUAUCUUGUAAUUUCCAAGAUCUUUAUUCCUAGCCACAUCUGUUUUGGACUAAAACUACUGAUUUUCCUAGCCAUAAUAUUCAUAAAUAUACCAAAAGUGAAAAAUCAUUGUGAUUAGUGGCAAUCCCUACAAAAUUUUCUUGUGCAUGAUAUGCUUAACCGAAGCACUGGCUCUGGCAAAUAUUAGUUAGUUGAAAUUCAUGUAACUUAAAUUUAUGAAAAUAAUCAUUAGAAAAAAAAAAACCGUCUCUAGAUCUUCCUUUGCUUGUUCACGAUCACAGUACUCGGCCCAUUCUCAUACGCAUAUGCGUUGUUUUUUUUUUCCAUAUAAGAGGCAACCUUAUAAGGUUAAUUGUAGUCUAUACUUAUCACCUGCUACUUUGCCACCAAUAUUUCCAGUAGUUUUGCUAAGCUGAUGACCACCUACACAUGAUAAGGAAGAAAAAUAACAUGCAAUAACCUGAAAAUGUUAUGUCCUAGUAUUCGAGAACUAGGAAGAACUCCAGAAGAGGGAUUAGAGGAGAGGAAAUUUCUGUUUUAUUGCUUGCAUUUCAUUACAAUGACUAUCAUAUUUAUAAGCACUGAAAUGCUAAUUCUGUUAUUGCAUUUCCUCUACAGGUCCUAAGGUGCACAAAAAGCAAAAUAACAGAAUGGUAGUGAAGCAUGAUUCCUAGCCAGCAACAAGAUCUCCUUCGACCAAUGAGAGGCUACCAGCUCAGCGUUUGUUGUUGGCACGGGUCACGUAGUCCUCCAGGUAGUGUGGCUUGCAUAUUCUCCUUUUGUUUCUUGUCUGCUCCUUGUCUGCUACUAAUUCCCCUGUGUUGGUUUGCCCUUUGCUGAGUUGAUUUAUAACAUAAAAACAAUAAAAAGUUCUUUGUCUCGCAAUAAACACCUGAAAUAUAGAAAGGCAUAGACAAAGAUUCAGUCAUAUCAUCACAACAUGGACCGUAAAUUUUGUUUGGAGAUAAGCUACUACCUAGAGGAAGAUGCCAGAUUGAACAAAUGAUUCAUCAAAUUCUUGGCUUCAAGAACGGAAUGCACUUGGUUCCAACGUCCCUUGCCACUGAAAACCCAUUCCGGCUCUUCUGCCUUUGGUAAAUGAGAUGCCAUUGACAUGUCUACGACGGGUAGGGGCAAACGUCGUCGUUCUCAUGCCCUUAAAUACGAACAUGCCACCAGUUCACCUUCUACGGCGGUUCUGUGAAAUCGUCGUAGAAUUCUUGACGUAGAAAGCUGCUUUUAUAGUAGUGACAGCAAUGUUAUAGAAGAAGUAGCAAUUAUUUUUUCAAGGGCAAAUAUCCUUGAAUUUCUUGCACCCAAAGACAUUGAUGCGAGGCCAGCACUAGAUUAGCAAUUAGGCAAGAAGAUGUUGUUAAUUAUAUAUUUCCAAAUACAAGGUUAUAAUUGAAUCUAAAGAAGAAAAAUUGUCCAUCAUGACUCUAAAGGGAAAGAAAAACAAAACACAACUUUCUGCUUCAAACUGAGUAUUAGAAGUUCCAUUAGUAGGAUCGUUUCACCUUAUGAGAUUUAAUUCUCUGGAUCUCAUCCUGUAGUCGUUUUGCAGCCUCGUCACUUUUGGUUUUGUCUCAAUAGUGGAGACUGAGAUUCUUGUUUCUAAAGAAGUGUUAUCAAUCAAGAAAACAAAAAUAAUAUUUGCAUUUCAAUUUUUUUUUAUCAUGUUCAUACUUAUAGAAAAAAUAGAAAAAAAAAGCAUAUUUUUUAUCUUACCAUCUAAAAUUAUAAAAUAAUGAAUAUUUUUUUUAUUGUAUAAAUAUAUCGUUACUAAAUAUAUACAAUGUAUAUUUUAUUUUAUAUUAAAGAAAUUUUACUUUUGACACAUACAUAUAUAUAUAUAUAUAUAUAUAUAUAUAUAUAUAUAUAUAUAUAUAUUCCAUAAGAAUCAAAGACAAGUACUUAAAAUUAUACUCACUGAUAUAGUUACACAUAUACAUACAUGAAUUUUAAAUUUAGAAUUUAAUUAAUUAAAAUCUCUCUAAUAUAUUUCCAUUGUUAAAGAAAAAGUGUUUUAUAUAAGAGCAAUAUAUCAACAAACUUAUAGGUUCUUACCACAAGCAUAUAACGAAAUAAGAAUCAAACCGUCAUUAAUGGUGCAUUACUGAAUCACAAGGUUUAAAAACCUUAUUCAUGACUACACACAAAAGACGGGAGUCAAGUAGUCAUGUGUUUACACAUCAAGAGAGACAUACUCAUCCAAGGAAAUUAAACAGUAGAAUAAAAUAAAGUAAAAUAACAUGUUAAGAAUAUCAUGCAAUUAAAAUAGAAACUCAUGCCCUCAAUGUCACGUCCUAUUAGAGCAUUGUAUCUUGACGUCCUCCUGCACAAGAUUUCUUAAGGCAAUCCACCUAAUCAUCUUCUCCCACGAACACAAAGUUCAAGAUUAUCACAGGAUACAAACACAAACAACACACAGGGAGUGAGUUAUCGCAUUCUUAAACAUGUAGAGAUAACUGAAAACACAUAUAUACAUAUAAUAUAAGUAUAAGAAGCUUAACUUAACACAAUUCGCAUCAUUUUACCACUCAUUAUAUAACGUCACUUGUCCCCAAGGAUUUAAUCACAAAUCACAUUCCACACUUUCACAUUAAUCACGUGUUUAGAACGACACAUCUCUAGUACAACACAACAUCUCAAACUCACAUAAUUCAUUGCCCACCAUUACGUAACAAGUCAUAAUGAUCAUUACAUAAGCUUUAUGCAACAUAUACACUAAGACUUAAUCAUAUAUGCAAUGUGAUAUCAUGUCAGUGAAAAACAACAGCAAGGUGCCUAGAAGUACAUAACAAAAGACACCACACAAUGAGUAUGUCAAGUAACUCUCACUAAGUGAAAUCAUAAGGUGACCAGUCAAGGUCCCUCUAUUUUGCGAGAAUGCUCCAACCAUAUAAGAUUAAUAUAGGCUUAAAGAAGCACUCAAAUCGAGUGUAUUUACCCCCAAGGCUUAGUGAUAACUGCUAAAUAUGAGUUAUUUUGAUAAUAAAAAUAUAUUGAAAAUAUCUUUAAAAAUAUUUAUUUAACAGUUAUCUUUGGCUUAAAUAUUAAGAUUUGAUAUUUUUGUUAUUUAUGACUUGCAGAUAUGAAAAGGAGAGAUUAAAAGAGAAAAAGAUUGAGAAAAUAUCCAAAAUAUCAGGAAGUCUCAAGGAGAUAUGAUUAAAAGCAAAACAAAUCAAAAAAAUAUCAUUAGGAAGAUUUUUAACAUUAGGCCCAAGUCCACUCCAACAACUAUAAAAAGAGAGUCAAGCCAAGGAGGAGAAACACAACACCACAUAACCCCAUCCCCUAGGGGUUUCAUUUACUCCCUUUCUUUCUUUACCCCUCUUAUCCAAUCAGUCCUUAUACCUCAUCCAUUUUAAAACCCCCUCAAUGGCCAUAAGUGGCUAAACCUCUAAUUAGGGCCUUGCAGGCCUAAAAGCCAAGCGAUGUAUGAUGUAUUCAUUAUUUAUCAAUGCAAAUGUGUUUUCUAUUCUAUUAUCUUUUCUGUUUUUAUCUUGCAUUAUUCAUCUUUAAUUAUGUUAGGGAUUAGACGCUCAGGAGAGGGUAACUUCUAAGUAAGAUUUAAAGAAGAUAUGCAUGUAUUGGUUUUAGGGGUUAGACGCUCGGAAGAGGAUAACUUCUAAUAGAACAAAAAUAAAGGAUUUUAUAAGAAAAUCAUUGCUAGGAAUAUAAUGAUAAUUUUAUGCCUAUGCAUUCUUGCAAACAUCUAGAAUUCAUACUUCAUAUACUUUAUUUGUUGAGUCUUUGCAAAGGAAUUUAGAAGAUAGAUAAAUAAAAUAGGCUUGUCAUUAUAAGGAAUCAGAGGCAAGUAAUUGAACAGAUGUAUGUAGAAUAGAAUUACCUAAAUUGAUAAAGAAAAAGAAAAAUCAUAAACUCAUACAUCCUAGGCAAACAAGGUAGGUCAGGUCCUAACCUUAUCAAAAUUUGAUUUGAUUUUAUUUUUAUCUUUUACUUUUCUUAUCUUAUCUUUUAUCUUUUAUUUUCUUUUAUUUUUAUCAUCUCUUAAUUUAAAUAUUUUAUCUUCUCUAUCUUCUAUUUUUAUCUUUAAAUCUUUUAUCCUUUCUUUUAAAUCUUUAUCUUAUCUAAUAUACUUCUUUAUCUUUAUUUUAAAUUCUUUAUCAAUUGCUUUUAACUUGGGUUUGCAUUAAUCUAAGUACAAAUAAAGUUCCUGUGGAUUCGACACUCGGACUUCCGAGUACUUUACUACUUGUGACAAUUUGGUACACUUGCCAACAUGUUAACACUUAGACUCCAAAGAAUUCAUUAGGAUCUUACCUUUCUGAUUCAGAUCCAACCCCUAAAAUAACUUUUGCAUACAAAUACUACUCGUGAAUUAUGCAAUACCCACGGUCUUACACUUAUUUUUAAAACACAUUUAACCCAAUGCAUUACAAUUUAACUCCUCAGGUUCUUAACUUGGAACCGUACACUCUUCCUUUAACACUUCUCGCAUUGCACUACAAUUUAACAUCUCAAGUUCCUAACUUGAAAUCCCUAUACUUUUCUUUUAAUACCAUUCACAUUGCGCUACAAUUUAACAUAUCAAGUUCUUAACUUGGAACUCUACACUUUCCUUUUAAAACCUUGCGCAUAAAUAUUUUUCUAAGGUAAACACCAAUUAGGUGAUUGUAUAAUACACAACUCAAAACACAACUAAUAUCAUAUCAAGUAUUAAUCACACACUUAUUCACAAGCUAAUAGACCAAUUGUGUUAUAAAAUAAUUAAUGUCACUAUAUAUAACACGAAAAUUUAUAAUGUAUAUUUAAUGCAUAUAUAAAUUUAAAUAAUAAAUUUAGUGACAAUUAAAUUUGAUCUAAUAAUUAAUUUAUUUACAUAUAUGAAUUAUUAUAAAUGAAACCUAUGAUUUUUAUUUAAAAUUUAUAUAUAUAUAUAUAUAUAUAUAUAUAUAUAUAUUUAUGUUAAUUUACAUGUGCAUUAAAUAUACAUUAAAAUUUUAUAUAUGUUAAUAAUGUAUUUUUUACAUAUAUAAAAUUUUAUUAAACCUACGAUUUUUAUUUACAAUUUAUAUAUGUAAAUAAAUUAAUUAUUAGAUCAAAAUUAAUUGUCAUAAAAUUUAUUAUGUAAAUUUACAUGUGCAUUAAAUAUACAUUAAAAGUUUUAGUGUUAUAUAUAACGACAUUAAUUAUUUUAUAACAUAAUUGACUUAUUAGCUCAAUUGAUUAUCAAUUGGUUAGAGCGUCUUGCUAAUAAUGUGAAAGUCACAAGUUCAAUUUCUGCCUAGACAAUUAAUUUUAAAUUAAUUCGUAAAAUAUAUCCUUUAAAAAAUUAAUAAAAAAUUGUAUAAACCAUUUACGGAUUAGGAAAUCCAUAAGCCAAUUACGGAUCUAUAAUUGAUUUAUGAAUUGUGAAUCCGUAAACCAAUUACAGAAAGACAAUAUGAGAAUUACAUAUAUUAUGCUGGGUGUACCAGAAAAACAAAUGGUGCACGUAGCAAUUCUGAAACCAAUAAUGUUUUGUGUUGGACUUUUAUGGACUUUCUUAUAUUUAGGGUUUUUUAAUUGUAAUCCAUAGCCCUAGUAUAUCAACACGCUUUCGUAUGAACUAGGGUUAUCAGAAAUUAAAUGUAGAAGCAGUUUUCUUUAAGCUUUCCUUUAUCGUCCCCUUGCAAUUUAUCUUUCUUAGUCUAGUUAGCAGCAGAGUCUAUCAAUCUAAAUGUGAAAUGCUAUUCAGUUAUCUAAGACUGGACCACUUUAGAAGAUAAGAACGAAACAUCGUAGUUCUAAAAAUGCAUUAUUAUGGCGUCAUAUUUAAAGGUGAUUCUCACAAAAUGUUUCUCAUGCUGGUGUUGGUGAGCAUAACACAUUUUUCUAGAACAAAUGAUAUCUAGGCAAUUCUAUCAUGAGCAUAAUGCUUUACGUAAAACAUCCAAUCAAAAACUCAAGAUAAAAUUGAAAUAAUUUCAGUUCAAGUUUCCUUAUAAGUAGUUCAUGCAUUUUCCUUUUCUUUGCUGACUUGUCGUUAAUUUUUAAUUAAUUGAAGGAAAGGGAACAAUUGAUUUGAAUUAUUAUAUUUUCUGAAACAAAAAAUAAUACUAUAUUUGUUUCCUUUAUUUUAAUAGGAAAAAAAAUAAAGCUUACACAUGUUAUCAUUAAUUUGGUUAAGGUAUCUAAAGUUCAGAAACCCAAAAAAACUAAAAUAAAAUGACCUACAAUAUAUAUAAAAAAAAGAUACAGUACAAAAAUAGGAAAGAACAAUUAAAACUCAAGCAUGUUUAUUAAGUUCAAUCUUUCAGCUAUAUAUAAGUGACAAUGUAGAGCUAAUCCAUUGAAGAUGAGCUUGACAUUACCAGCUCAUUGGCAACCUGCUCCAUGGUAGGGCGAGAUCGUGGACUUUCAGUCAAGCAGGCCAUUGCUAUCUUUGCAAUUGAUGCCACUUCCUUACCAAUUGGCUUUGUUGGAUGAGGGAGACGUUGGUCCAACUUAUCCAUCAAUGCCAUGAGAUCGAGUGUUGAGGCCACAAGAGUAGAUGGAGAUGAUCCCAAUAAAGAAGAUAUAACAUCACCAGGGUGCUUCCCAAAAAGUAUUUCCCAUGCUAGGACCCCAAAACUAUACACGUCACAUUUCUCAUUAACCUCCAUUGUGUAUGCAAGUUCUGUAACAAAAUAAAAGUGCUAUCAUACGCAAAAUAAGAUUCUAGUGACAAAGGCAAAAUGUGGACAAUUGUGACUAAGAAAGGCAAACUAAAAAAUAUGAUAUCCUCAAUUUAGUAUAAAGAAAGGUAAUUAACCUGGAGCAGCAUAUCCAAAGGUUCCUACGAAUGAGGUCCAAUUGGAUGAAUCUGGAUUAAGAAACUUGGCCGUUCCAAAGUCUGAGACAUGAGCUACAUAUUCGGAAUCCAAAAGAACAUUCUUGCUUGAUAUAUCACGAUGAACAAUUCGAGGUGAGCAUUCAUGGUGCAUAUAGCACAAAGCAUUUGCUACAUCUUUAACAACAUUCACCCUCUUAUACCAAUCAAAUGCCAUUGCUUGCCCAUCAUCCUUCAGAGUCUUCUCAACACUGCCAUUCUCCAGGAAUUCACACACCAAAAAUGAGAAUUGUGAAUGUGAACAAAACCCAAAUAACUUUACAAUGUUACGAUGUCGAAUUUCUGUCAAAGCUUGGAUCUCACAUGUGAAAGCUUUCAGAUUGAGCAUCUCUCCAUUUGGAACAGAAUGGAGUUUCUUCACAGCAACAACUUGACCUGUAGGCAGCACUGCUUUGUAAACACAUCCUUGCCCUCCAACACCAAUGAGAUGUUUGUCGUCAAAAUUUUCUGUGGCUUCAAUAAUAUUCUGGAAUACCAUUUUGCCAUCAAAACUCCAUAUUGCAAAUAUGUUAGGAGUUUGUAUACUUGUAGCCUGGUCUUCUUUGUUCGUUGAGGUUUGGCAUAAAUGAUACGAGACUCCGAAAGCAAAUAAUGCCAGUAUUAGAAUGCCCAAAGUAAGGGGUAAAAUUACUAUCAUAUGAUUAUGAGAUUUCCCACUUGAUGUUGAGCAAGGCUCCAAGCCAGUGACAUUGCCACACAAGCCUUUAUUAUUUCUCAAUGCUUCAAUUUUAGCAUUGUGGAAGGCUAGAAUGUUUGGAAGUGGACCCUCAAACUGGUUGUAUGAUAUAUCAAUAGAUGUCAAGCUCGUCAUAUCAUCGAAGCUAGAGACAUCACCUGAAAGAUUAUUGUGAGAGAGAUUCAGUGUUUCUAAGUUUUUUAAUUCUCCAAACAUUGAAGGUAUUGUUCCUCUCAAAGAAUUUCCACCAAGAUCAAGACUUGUAAGAAAUUUCAGUUUGCCAAGCUCUGAAGGAAUAUUUCCCUGAAAAUUAUUUUGGCUCAGACUCAUGUUCAAUAAAUUGAGCAAAUUUCCUAGUUGUUUUGGGAUUAAGCCAGACAACUUAUUUGAUCCAAGCUUCAAAAUUUGAAGUUUUUGCAUUGAUGCUAUUUCUUUGGGAACAUUUCCUGUAAGAUUAUUGUUGUCGAGUGAGAGAUCAAACAAGGGCAAGUUACAUAAAUCAUGUGGAAUGUUUCCUGUAAGAUGGUUUGAGAACAGGUGAAGUCGUUGUAAUUUGGUUGCCCCAGCUAGUUCUGGUGGUAUCACACCUGAUAAAUUAUUGUUGGAGAUCAUGAGGCUUGUGAGGCUACGAAACUUUCCCCAGUUAGGUGAAAGUUGACCAUAAAAGUUAUUGUCACUCAAUUCGAUGUAGUCCAAAUUUGGAAGUACACCAAAAGCAUCUGUUAUAUCCCCAGUUAGCUGGUUUCGC